CUCAAUGAAUUUUAUAUAGCCGCAAUAUUGUGCUAAGGUAGCAUAAUCAUUUGUUUUUUAAUUAAAAACUAGAACGAAAGAUUUAACAUUUUAAUUUCUUUCUUACAUAUAAAAAUUAAACUUAUUUUAAAUAUAAAAAAAUAUUUAUUUAUUAAAAAGACGAUAAGACCCUAUUGAACUUUACUAAAGUUUAACUGGGGUAGUUAAUUAAAUAUUAUUUUAAUUUAAUAUUAAAAAAUACCUAAUAAAAUUAAAUUAAUUAAGUUACCAUAGGGAUAACAGCGUAAUAAAUUUCACAAGAUCUUAUUCAAAAAUUUGUUUACGACCUCGAUGUUGAAUUAAUAAUCUAUUAAAUGCAAUAAUUUAAUAAAGAAAGUCUGUUCGACUU
RNAcentral lists this ribosomal RNA (388 nucleotides) under Platocoelotes sp. CL024. RNAcentral's name for it is "partial 16S ribosomal RNA". Lineage: Eukaryota; Metazoa; Arthropoda; Arachnida; Araneae; Agelenidae. The record is from RNAcentral.